GGUGAACCUGCGGAAGGAUCAUUAC
Molecule: non-coding RNA, 25 nt
Filed under: Aspergillus niger
Lineage: Eukaryota; Fungi; Ascomycota; Eurotiomycetes; Eurotiales; Aspergillaceae
Also listed under: 12 other names
Source: RNAcentral